UACGUAGGUGGCAAGCGUUGUCCGGAUUUACUGGGCGUAAAGAGCGCGCAGGCGGUCGGAUAAGUCGAAUGUGAAAGCCCCCGGCUCAACUGGGGAGGGUCAUUCGAUACUGUUCGACUCGAAGGCAGGAGAGGGAAGUGGAAUUCCCGGUGUAGUGGUGAAAUGCGUAGAUAUCAGGAGGAACACCGGUGGCGAAGGCGGACCUCUGGGCCUGUCCUGACGCUGAGGCGCGAAAGCUAGGGGAGCGAACAGG
RNAcentral lists this ribosomal RNA (253 nucleotides) under uncultured bacterium. RNAcentral describes it as "partial 16S ribosomal RNA". It matches the Rfam family "Bacterial small subunit ribosomal RNA", at positions 524 to 776 of the family's 1533-position model. The record is from RNAcentral.